AAGUCGUAACAAGGUUUCCGUAGGUGAACCUGCGGAAGGAUCAUUACCAAAUCCAAAUCUCAACCCCAUGUGAACCUGUGUUUGUACGUCCUUGGGGGGCUCCUAAGGCUAACCCCCUUUUCAGCCCCCCAUGUUUACUAAACCACUUUGGUCUUUUCGUUGGAAUAUCUUGUAUUAGCAACUAAUAUAGGACAACUUUUAACGGUGGAUCUCUUGGCUCGUGGAUCGA
Molecule: unclassified non-coding RNA, 229 nt
Filed under: fungal sp.
Lineage: Eukaryota; Fungi
Description: partial internal transcribed spacer region
Rfam family: Eukaryotic small subunit ribosomal RNA (bases 1-46)
Source: RNAcentral